CAGAUGUGAAAGACCCGGGGCGUCAACCUCGGAAUUGCAUUUGUAAACUAGGCAGACUAGAGUACUGUAGAGGGGGGUAGGAAUUUCAGGUGUAGCGGUGAAAUGCGUAGAGAUCUGAAGGAAUACCGGUGGCGAAGGCGGCCCCCUGGACAGAUACUGACACUCAGAUGCGAAAGCGUGGGGAGCAAACAGGAUUAGAUACCCUGGUAG
This 210-nucleotide ribosomal RNA is filed under the name uncultured bacterium. RNAcentral describes it as "partial 16S ribosomal RNA". It matches the Rfam family "Bacterial small subunit ribosomal RNA", at positions 589 to 793 of the family's 1533-position model. The record is from RNAcentral.